UACGUAGGGUGCUAGCGUUGUUCGGAUUUAUUGGGCGUAAAGAGCUCGUAGGCGGCCUGUCGCGUCGGAUGUGAAAACCCAGGGCUCAACCCUGGGCCUGCAUUCGAUACGGGCAGACUAGAGUACGGCAGGGGGGACUGGAAUUCCUGGUGUAGCGGUGAAAUGCGCAGAUAUCAGGAGGAACACCGGUGGCGAAGGCGGGUCUCUGGGCCGAUACUGACGCUGAGGAGCGAAAGCGUGGGGAGCGAACAGG
Molecule: ribosomal RNA, 253 nt
Filed under: uncultured bacterium
Lineage: Bacteria
Description: partial 16S ribosomal RNA
Rfam family: Bacterial small subunit ribosomal RNA
Source: RNAcentral